Molecule: long non-coding RNA, 1233 nt
Organism: Nothobranchius furzeri (turquoise killifish)
Lineage: Eukaryota; Metazoa; Chordata; Actinopteri; Cyprinodontiformes; Nothobranchiidae
Source: Ensembl
AUGCUCACCUGGGCAAUGAGCAUGACCUGGAGGGGUGUGAUUGGGAGGAACGGCCCGCCUGAUCUGAACUCGAGUGGUGUUUCAUUAUUGGACUUCUGUGCAAGCCGCAGUUUGGCCAUAACGAACACCAUGACCGAACAUAAGGAUGCCCAUCGGUACACUUGGUACCAGGGCAGCCUGGGUCGCAGAUCGAUGAUAGAUAUUGUAGUCGUAUCAUCUGACCUGCGGCCGUAUGUUUUGGACACCCGAGUGAAGAGAGGAGCGGAGCUGUCAACUGAUCACCACCUGGUGGUGAGUUGGAUCAGAUGGCAGGGGAAGAUGCUGCAUAGACCUGGCAGACCCAAACACAUAGUGAGGAUCUGCUGGGAACACCUGGCAGAAGAACCUGCCAAGACGGUCUUCAACUCCCACCUCCGGCAGAGCUUUGACCGUGUCCUGCGAGCAGUGGGGGACAUUGACUCCGAGCAGGCCUUGUUCCACUCUGCAAUUGUUGAGGCGGCUGUUGCUAGCUGUGGUCGCAAGGUGGCCGGUGCCAGUCGUGGUGGUAACCCCCGUACCCGCUGGUGGACACCAGAGGUUCGGGGAGCCGUCAGGCUGAAGAAGGAGGCCUACAAGUUGUGGCUGGUCUGUGGGUCUCCGGAGGCAGCAGACAGGCACCGGAUAUCCAAGCGGGGUGCAGCAGUGGCAGUUGCCGAAGCAAAAUCUCGGGCGUGGGAGGAGUUUGGUGAGGCCAUGGAGAAAGACUAUCGAUUGGCUCCAAAGAGGUUCUGGCAAACUGUCCGGCGCCUCAGGAGAGGAAGGCAGCAACUCGCUCACACUGUUUACAGUGGGGAUGGGGAGCUGCUGACGUCAACUGAGGCUAUAGUCGGACGGUGGAAGGAAUACUUUGAGGAGCUCCUCAAUCCCACCAAUGCGCAUUCCGAGGAGGAACCAGAGCUGGGAGGCCUGGGGAUGGACUGUCCGAUCUCGGGGGCAGAAGUUGCUGAGGUAGUCAAACAACUACACAGCGGCGGAGCCCCGGGGGCGGAUGAGGUUCGUCCUGGGUAUCUCAAGGCUAUGGAUGUUGUAGGGCUGUCAUGGUUGACACGUCUCUACAACAUUGCGUGGUCAUCGGGGGCAGUUCCUAGGGAGUGGCAGACCGGGGUGGUGGUCCCCAUCUUUAAGAAGGGUGACCUGAGGGUGUGUUCCAACUAUAGGGGGAUCACACUCCUCAGCCUCCCUGGAAAGGUCUAC